UAGAUGAGAGCAGAUCAGAGUCACUCUCCUA
RNAcentral lists this non-coding RNA (31 nucleotides) under Rattus norvegicus (Norway rat). The record is from RNAcentral. Lineage: Eukaryota; Metazoa; Chordata; Mammalia; Rodentia; Muridae.